RNAcentral lists this long non-coding RNA (846 nucleotides) under Manacus vitellinus (golden-collared manakin). RNAcentral's name for it is "lncRNA (ENSMVIG00005001370.1)". The record is from RNAcentral. Lineage: Eukaryota; Metazoa; Chordata; Aves; Passeriformes; Pipridae.
CCCCGCCCGCCCUCGUCCGGCAGCCGCAAGCUCCCGGGCGGGGAGGGGCGGCCCCGGUAAAGGGAGAGACGGCGCUGCCGCCGCUCCGCGCCUUGCUCGGGGCACGGAGCUGAUGAUUAACCUGCGGUUCAUUGAAUACCUACCUGGCUCAAGUCGCGCCCGGGAUGUGGUUUAACCUUGUCCGAGGUUUCGGUACCUCGGGCUUUGCCUUUCUGCCUGAGACCCUGGUGCUGCCAGUUUUGCUGCUACCGAAGCGCUGCGGGGAUGUGCAGCUCCCCGUUGAAAAUCUCUGCUGUUAAUAUCAGCCUAGACUUCACUUUACAGUCGUUUUUAGAGGUUUGAGGCUCCAGAGGUCGAGGUGAUGUGGGACUCUCGGUCUCGGCGAGCAUUUUUGCAGCAGCAGCAGCCUCGGGCUGCAGUAGCUGGCACUUGAAUCCAUGUUGGCUCCUUUUCCUCGGGCGUGAGCUGCAAGGAGCUCAGCAGCUUCGGCAUUUAGUCCCAUUUGGGGAAACGUCUGUCCUUUGUGAGGAUGCCAGUACAGUUAUAGCCACUGACACUAUACAUGACCAGAGGCUCCAGUUUCUGGCAUCUCUUUCUAUUCAAUUUCUUCAGAUUAUCUGUAAAUUUUCAAUAAUGGCAAUACAUUCAUUCUGCCAUUUGGAGGAGCCUGUGCCACAGAAUAAUGAUCUGAAGAAAGCUCACUUAUUUGCAAGGAAGAGUCUUCAUUUGGGAAUUAGCACCGAUGCAGCUAAGAGGUGCUUCCUCAAGUUCAGAACUGUUAUUGUUUCACCUCUGGUACAUGGACAAAACUGGGUUUUCUUCAUAGAUCAGGAUUCCUGGACCUGA